This 1516-nucleotide long non-coding RNA is filed under the name Homo sapiens (human). RNAcentral describes it as "non-protein coding lnc-GNAO1-1:8". Lineage: Eukaryota; Metazoa; Chordata; Mammalia; Primates; Hominidae. The record is from RNAcentral.
GGAACAAAAGGAAUUUUGUCUGAGAUUUUAGCAGAAAAGUAAUUUUUGAAAUCUAUUCUUGGAUUUAGACGUUUAUUGGAUUUCAAAGCUUCUUGCUGCCCAGGAGCUUGUGAAUACGGUCAAAGGUCCAUGAAAUUUCCAAAGUGGUACCACAGCAGAUGAACCUGAAUGCAAACUGGAGGGACCAACAGAGUCCAGCCUAUAGACAUAAAUCCUUAACUACACCUAGAUCUCACUGUCUUUUCCAAUGGUCAAAAGAGGGGCUCUUGAAAUGGCUCCAUUGUUUUAUAGAAACAAGGUCUUCCUAAGAAGUCUUUUUCUCCUAUCUUUUUCUUACCCAAAAUAAAGGAAUGGCCCAAAACCUCAAGCCAAGCUUACCAGCUAUAAACAACUUGGUGGUCAGCAGCCAAAAGAAGAGUGGACAUGCCAUGGUCAUGUGGCACGUACCCUAUACAAGCUUCACAGAGAAGAAUGGAAGCACUUGAUUGUAAGACAGAGGGUGAGAUGUGAGAGGAAUAUUAACCUUCACUUUCCACAGGCAUUUUUUUCUGCAAAUGGCACCAGCUUUUGGACUUAAAAUUUUAUUCCAAAUACUAUUUAGAUGCAUCAGGGCCCUCAAAAUAUGGAUUUCAAGUUGGAGACAUCAAAGUGCAUUAUUUACUAAAACCACUGCAGCUUUUUUCCCCUCUCCUUUCACAAGAUGCUAUUGUAAAUUCAGGCUGCUUUAAUCUCUGUGAUUAAAAAAAAAAAGGAAGAAAGAAAAAAAAAGUGCUGCUUGAAGAGGAACUGAACUCACAAUCUGGGAGCUAGAAAGUAAAUAUUACCCAGAGAGUACCUCACUUUAAUUACUGGCCUGAACAUUGGUUUCAAUUUACAUGUAUUUUAAUUAGCCACAGAAGGGUUCACCUAUUACUCUCUGAAUACAAAACUUAAAAAGCAAACAGAAAAUAGGGAAAGAAAGGCUUAUUUAAGGGCCUCCAAGGAUUAAUCUUUGCAUUCUUCUCAUUUUUUCCCCGAAUUUGGGGAUAAAAUUUGUCGCAGGGAAUUUGAUCUUAGGGAAACAUUGAGUUUGGUUUGUGAACACAAGCUACUUCUGAACACUAUUUUAGCAAACAGAAUUUUAGAAGCAUAAGGCUCUAGCAGAGGGCUAUACAGAAUUUUGCAUAAACUAAAUAACAACCGUUUCCUCCUGAAAUGCAGGAAAUCAAGCUGCACGGUCCUUAGGUCUUCAGCAAAGCUUGGACCACUUGGCAAAGUCUUCUGUCUCCAGAGGAAUGAUGGGAAAACUAUGGGACAAAAGUCAGGAGAGUGGUGCUGGCUGAUCCUGGCCUGGACAUUGACUCCCUGGGGACUUUGGUGCUCUCUCGUGCUCUCUCUGUCUCCAGUGAUAAGCUGACCAGAUGCCUUGAAUUAAGUACAGUAUGCAGCAAUGCCAGCCCUGGACUUUUCCCCAACCUAUCACCCAACCCACUUACCUGGAGCCAAGGGUCACCAACAUCUCUAAUAGAAUCCAACU